Long non-coding RNA from Lycium ferocissimum, 3014 nucleotides. RefSeq lists it as uncharacterized. Lineage: Eukaryota; Viridiplantae; Streptophyta; Magnoliopsida; Solanales; Solanaceae. The record is from RefSeq and is a predicted model, not a curated record. The transcript is spliced from 3 exons.
CUGGUCAUGCAACAUUACUCUUUCAUUAAUGACCCGGUGCCCAUUUGCUUUUGAUAGAUUAACUCCGGUCACCACCGGAGUUCUUCAUCUCAAUUAAAUGAUACCGUUACAUCUUCUCCUGCCAAGUGUUCCAAUACUACUUUGCCAAGUGUCAGGCUAUAUUUUAGCAUGUAUACAUAUAGUCCCCCCACUCUCCGGUAUAAUAAAGUGAAACCGAAGAGUGGAAUUGAAAACGUCACCAGAUCCAUCACUUAGUGGCGGGAAAGUGAAUUGACUCCUAGAUUCAUUCGAUAAAUAACUGCUAACUUUGAAUUUAAUCCGCCUGUUGCAAAUCGCGGCGACCCUUCAAUCAACACGAUUGACAUAAAGCUGCCACUCGUUGGAAAUUGUGUCCAUUUGAAUGCCAAACGUUCCAUCUUCCCCGCUUGGAUUAUAAAUAAGGCAAGAAAUCAGCCACCAAACUCAAUCAAGUCAUCUCUAUUUUUAAGCAAAACUUUUCCUUUUUCAAAAAGUACUUCCUGAUUCACCCAAAUCUUUUUCGUCUUCACCAAUAUUACAACCAUGUCUUCUCCUACUAACAAUACUUCGCCUGGACGCCGUUCUAGAAAAGCCGAGUUUCUCUUUCAAAUCGACAGAUUGAUUUGAAUUCUCUUGCCGACAAUAUUCUUCCUGCCGGGUUUAAAUAUCAUGAUGACUUCAGUGUUGUCGAUCAUUAUCAAAGCGUCGAAGAGAUUAAGUCUUUUAUCACUGCUGAUACUAUCCCCAAAGUUCGUGCAGAUUGCAAUUUUACUCCCAAAAUUGCAAUCGUGAUUGUUAAUGAUGGGACCAAGAUGAACCAUCACUCGGAUGGUUUUUCAAGGGUUUAUACUUACCCUUCACGAUAGGCUUCAUUCUUCCUAUACCCUAAAUAAUUAAAGAUUUUUGUCGCCGGUAUCGUGUCUGCGUCGGACAAGUUGCUCCUCAAAUCUGGCGCAUUGUCUUAUUGUAUUCAAUUUUUGGCUGAUCAAGCCGCUCCUUUUACCCUUCAUCAUCUGAUGCACUUAUAUCCUCUUCUGGUUUUUCGGAGAGGGGUUAUUUCACCUAUACCCCCGGGGAAAACACAGUCUGGUUAACCCGGAGGAUGAUUCUGACUGCGGUUGGCUCCAUCGGUUCAUCAUGAUCUGAACUAGUCAUCUCCACUGGUUUGAGCUUGAGCCCUUCCCGCAGGCUUGGAAUCCCACUCGUGAGUCCUUAUUCUAUUCUUUUCUUUUCCUUCAUUUUCGUUUUGUAUAAUAUCGUUAUACUUCAUACUUCUUUCUUCAGCAGUUCCCGUUAAGCCGGAGCUUAUAAUCGGGAUAUUCGAAUGGGUGGUAGCAUUAUUGCAUGCUUCUCCCAAUUUGAUUUUCUCCUGGAGGAGCAUGACGUCUGAUUGGUAGAGAGGGAAGAACCACGGUGAGAUGAACAUUCCCUACCUUCUUUUCCUUGUUUUAGUCUCUCUUUUCCUUCUUAAAUACUUUCGUAAUUGCAGAUCUUCUGGUUCAAAAGCCUAUUUCUUGGAGAGUCCAAACUUGCCCUGUUAAAUAUUGUUAACGAUUCUUCUUCCAACGGGAAACGCACACCAAAAGACGCCUUCGUUUCUCCGGUGGGCAUUGGUUCCAAGAUACGCAGUCAUCGCUUGCUCAUGGAAUCUUGGAGCAAAGUUCAACAAGAUGCCGCUCCUGGGGUAGUUCUUAUCUAUGGCGAUGACAAGACGUGAGCCGGUGCUACCUCGAAUCCAUUGCCUUGUGAUUCCAGCAAAGUGUCCGGAGAAGUCAAGACCCCUCCUGUCAACCAACGUCCAAAAAGUCCUACUCCUCCAGUCAGUGAGCCAUCGCAAAGGAGCUUUGUUCCUCUCUUUGAAUCAGGGACCUCGGGUUCGUCUCCUCACCUCAAGCCUCCGGCUUCUAUCCUAGAAGCCUCUUUGGCACACCUCGCCAAUCUAUUUCUUCAGGGUCAUGUUGCUGCUACUUCUACUGCCGAGCUUGCACGUACACUUUCUCAUUUCCGUUGGGAGAUUAAGCUUCAGGAAGAUAAUGAUCGUCUUUAAGCAGAAGUAGAGAGAUUGCAGGCUGAGAUCCAGGACUCUGACUCCCUUCAGGCUUUUCUGAGAAUACGUUUGGAAGACGCGGCCAAUUCACAAUAGGAUCGAGAAAGCUCUUUACAGACACUGACUUCCUCUUACAUGGGAUUUCAGAACAAAGCUGCGCGUCUUGAAGAUGAUUUAAAUAACAUCCGUGACCAGCUUCUUAGUGUUGAAGUUUCCCAUAAACGUUUGAGGGCCCGGUGUCAAAUAUUGCAACUCUGUCGUGAUUUGGCCAUUCUCGAAACUAGGAGGAAUACAAUAGAAGAGGUAAGUGCUCCUGAUUUUGAUCUCCCAACGGCGCUUCUUCAAGCAGUAAUUGAUUUGGAAGCUACUCUCAAGGACAUCCAUGAUCCUGAGGCAGAUGAACCGGGAAGUGAAGACUCCGGAUCUCCUCCGGUCGUAGGGAUUGCCCCGGACAUUUAGCCCAUGGUUCUUAAGAGGAAGACUGGAUUCAAACUAUCGGACAGCAACCAAAGAAGAGAACAUUCAAGAAGUUCAGUUGCAGAGGAGUAGAUCUCUAUGCUCUUCUCGAUAUGUCAACCGAUGAGCUUGUUAAGCUAUAUAGGAGUAGAUCUUGAUGCUCUUCUCGACAUGUCUACUGAUGAGCUUGUUAAGAUUUUCCCUGCUAGUCCUUGUAAAAGGUUCCAGAGAGGUUUGAAGAGGAAGCGAACCACAGACUUAAUCUUGUUUAAGAAGUUCUUUGCAGAAUUAGUAUCAUUUUGACAUUGCCUUACCAUAGUCACAUAGGAGGAAUUUUUCAUUCUUAUUAUGAGGAUAAUAGAUAUUUUAAAGUAGCAGCAACUUUUGCACUUAUCACUAGUGUUAGGUAGCAUUUAAUUGAUGACUUUUGUUUCUAGCUAAACUAGCGUGAUUUUUGUUGUAUUUCCUAUAAUUUCGAGGCUUUAUCAUUCUA